RNAcentral lists this ribosomal RNA (448 nucleotides) under uncultured bacterium. RNAcentral's name for it is "SSU rRNA". It matches the Rfam family "Bacterial small subunit ribosomal RNA", at positions 26 to 518 of the family's 1533-position model. The record is from RNAcentral.
AGAACGAACGCUGGCGGCAGGCCUCAAACAUGCAAGUCUAGGGGGCGUAGCAAUACGUCACCGGCGGACGGGUGCGUAACACGUGGGAAUGUACUUAUUGGUUCGGAACAACUCAGGGAAACUUGAGCUAAUACCGAAUGUGCCCGAAAGGGGAAAGAUUUAUCGCCAAUAAAUCAGCCCGCGUCCGAUUAGCUAGUUGGUGGGGUAAAGGCCCACCAAGGCGACGAUCGGUAGCUGUUCUGAGAGGAAGAUCAGCCACACUGGGACUGAGACACGGCCCAGACUCCUACGGGAGGCAGCAGUUGGGAAUCUUGGACAAUGGGGGAAACCUGAUCCAGCCAUGCCGCGUGAGUGAUGAAGGCCUUCGGGUUGUAAAACUCUUUCGACGGGGACGAUAAUGACGGUACCCGUAGAAGAAGCGUCCGGCUAACUUCGUGCCAGCAGCCGC